CCUACGGGUGGCAGCAGUGGGGAAUAUUGCGCAAUGGGCGCAAGCCUGACGCAGCGACGCCGCGUGAGGGAUGAAGGUCUUCGGAUCGUAAACCUCUGUCAGCAGGGAAGAACGGUCACUGUUCUAAUCAGCAGUGAAUUGACGGUACCUGCAAAGGACGCACCGGCUAACUCCGUGCCAGCAGCCGCGGUCAUACGUAGGGUGCGUUCGUUAAUCGGAAUUACUUGGCGUAAAGCGAUCGUAGGCGGUAUGUCAAGUCAAGGGUGAAAUCCCCGCGCUCCACAUGGGAACUGCCGUUGAAACUGGCAAACUGGAGUGGGUGAGAGGAUAGUGGAA
Molecule: ribosomal RNA, 336 nt
Filed under: uncultured bacterium
Lineage: Bacteria
Description: partial 16S ribosomal RNA
Rfam family: Bacterial small subunit ribosomal RNA
Source: RNAcentral